GACAGAGGGGGCAAGCGUUGUCCGGAGUUACUGGGCGUAAAGGGCGCGGAGGCGGUCUGCGGCGUCGGCGCUGAAAGCGCCCCGCUUAACGGGGCGAGGCGUGCCGAUACGCGCAGGCUCGAGGCGAGCAGAGGGUGGUGGAAUUCCGGGUGGAGCGGUGAAAUGCGUAGAGAACCGGAGGAACGCCAGUGGGGAAGCAGGCCACCUGGGCUCGACCUGCCGCUGCGGCGCGACAGCGUGGAGAGCAAACCCG
Molecule: ribosomal RNA, 253 nt
Filed under: uncultured bacterium
Lineage: Bacteria
Description: partial 16S ribosomal RNA
Rfam family: Bacterial small subunit ribosomal RNA
Source: RNAcentral